Molecule: ribosomal RNA, 440 nt
Filed under: uncultured bacterium
Lineage: Bacteria
Description: partial 16S ribosomal RNA
Rfam family: Bacterial small subunit ribosomal RNA
Source: RNAcentral
CCUACGGGCGGCAGCAGUGGGGAAUAUUGCACAAUGGGGGAAACCCUGAUGCAGCGACGCCGCGUGAGUGAAGAAGUAUUUCGGUAUGUAAAGCUCUAUCAGCAGGGAAGAAAAUGACGGUACGUGACUAAGAAGCCCCGGCUAACUACGUGCCAGCAGCCGCGGUAAUACGUAGGGGGCAAGCGUUAUCCGGAUUUACUGGGUGGAACGGGAGCGUAGACGGCAGUGCAAGUCUGGAGUGAAAGCCCAUGGCUGAACCAUGGAACUGCUUUGGAAACUGUGCAGCUGGAGGGCAGGAGAGGUAAGCGGAAUUCCUGGUGUAGCGGUGAAAUGCGUAGAUAUUAGGAGGAACACCAGUGGCGAAGGCGGCUUACUGGACUGUAACUGACGUUGAGGCUCGAAAGCGUGGGGAGCAAACAGGAUUAGAUACCCGUGUAGUC